UACGAAGGGGGCUAGCGUUGCUCGGAAUCACUGGGCGUAAAGCGCACGUAGGCGGGUCUUUAAGUCAGGGGUGAAAUCCUGGAGCUCAACUCCAGAACUGCCAUUGAAACUGUUUAGCUUGAGGAUGAGAGAGGUGAGUGGAAUUCCCAGUGUAGAGGUGAAAUUCGUAGAUAUUGGGAAGAACACCGGUGGCGAAGGCGGCUCACUGGCUCAUUACUGACGCUCAGGCGCGAUAGCGUGGGGAUCAAACAGG
This 253-nucleotide ribosomal RNA is filed under the name uncultured bacterium. RNAcentral's name for it is "partial 16S ribosomal RNA". It matches the Rfam family "Bacterial small subunit ribosomal RNA", at positions 524 to 776 of the family's 1533-position model. The record is from RNAcentral.